GGGUCGUUAGCUCAAUUGGCAGAGCUCCGGACUUUUAAUCCGUAGGUUGUGGGUUCGAGUCCCACACGACCCACCA
Molecule: transfer RNA, 76 nt
Filed under: Actinomadura yumaensis
Lineage: Bacteria; Bacillati; Actinomycetota; Actinomycetes; Streptosporangiales; Thermomonosporaceae
Also listed under: 1 other name
Description: tRNA-Lys
Rfam family: tRNA
About the family: Transfer RNA (tRNA) molecules are approximately 80 nucleotides in length. Their secondary structure includes four short double-helical elements and three loops (D, anti-codon, and T loops).
Source: RNAcentral